Molecule: ribosomal RNA, 113 nt
Filed under: Alistipes sp. AF48-12
Lineage: Bacteria; Pseudomonadati; Bacteroidota; Bacteroidia; Bacteroidales; Rikenellaceae
Also listed under: 5 other names
Source: RNAcentral
UUAGGUGGUUAUAGCAGCGGGGUUCCACCUCUUCCCAUUCCGAACAGAGAAGUUAAGCCCGUUCACGCCGAUGGUACUGCAGUAACAUGUGGGAGAGUAGGUAGCCGCCUCCU